Molecule: long non-coding RNA, 485 nt
Organism: Helianthus annuus (common sunflower)
Lineage: Eukaryota; Viridiplantae; Streptophyta; Magnoliopsida; Asterales; Asteraceae
Exons: 2
Source: RefSeq, a predicted model, not a curated record
ACAAGCAGAGAGAAGGGGGAAACCCUAGCUCAAGCAAAAACAAGCAAUUGGAUCUAAAUUCUCAAGAUAAUCUAGUGCAUGAGUCCAUAAAUCUGAAUAACUAACCUCAAUUUCGUAAGUGGCAUAAAGGAAGAAGGUACAAGCGCCAAGAAAACGGAAGGAGCGCAAGAUCGAGGUAAAGCACCUCUAUAGGCGAUAUGGAGAUAUGGAACGAGCACAUGUUCAAGCCUUAUAAUACCAAGCGCUUCCGCAACUUAUAUGCAUGCUUUUGGGUUCUUGUUUUGUUACUUGGUUAAACUUUGUUGAAUUGUUUUAGGUUUGAAAAUUAGUUAUUUUCGUUGGAAUGGUUUUAUGUAAAAUGGGUCGUUUGUAAACGUUGUAUGUUAUGUCAAAACAGGGGGUAUGUCCGUUUUGCAAACGGGUCAUGCCCAAUUUUUGUAAAAAUUUCUUUAAGUGUUAAAGUGGUAUUUUAAUUGUCCGAAAAA